GUGAGGAAUAUUGGUCAAUGGGCGGGAGCCUGAACCAGCCAAGUCGCGUGAAGGAAGAAGGAUCUAUGGUUCGUAAACUUCUUUUGCAGGGGAAUAAAGUGCAGGACGUGUCCUGUUUUGUAUGUACCCUGAGAAUAAGGAUCGGCUAACUCCGUGCCAGCAGCCGCGGUAAUACGGAGGAUCCGAGCGUUAUCCGGAUUGAUUGGGUUUAAAGGGUGCGUAGGUGGUUUGAUAAGUCAGCGGUGAAAGUUUGCAGCUUAACUGUAAAAAUGCCGUUGAAACUGUCGGACUUGAGUGUAAAUGAGGUAGGCGGAAUGCGUGGUGUAGCGGUGAAAUGCAUAGAUAUCACGCAGAACUCCGAUUGCGAAGGCAGCUUACUAAGCUACAACUGACACUGAAGCACGAAAGCGUGGGGAUCAAACAGGAUUAGAUACCCGGGUAGUCC
RNAcentral lists this ribosomal RNA (445 nucleotides) under uncultured bacterium. Its description in RNAcentral is "partial 16S ribosomal RNA". It matches the Rfam family "Bacterial small subunit ribosomal RNA", at positions 354 to 796 of the family's 1533-position model. The record is from RNAcentral.